UAAUCCCGGAAGGACGACCAGUGGCGAAAGCGUUUAACUAGAACGAAUCUGACGGUAAGGAACGAAGGCUAGGGUAGCAAACCGGAUUAGAUACCCGGGUAGUCCUAGCUGUAAACAUUGCCCAUAUGAUGUUGCUUUUCCGUUGAGGGAAGGCAGUGUCGGAGCGAAGGUGUUAAAUGGGCCGCUUGGGAAGUAUGGUCGCAAGACUGAAACUUAAAGGAAUUGGCGGGGGAGCACCGCAACGGGAGGAAUGUGCGGUUUAAUUGGAUUCAACGCCGGAAAACUCACCGGGAACGACCUGUGCAUGAGAGUCAACCUGACGAGCUUACUCGAUAGCAGGAGAGGUGGUGCAUGGCCGUCGUCAGCUCGUACCGUAGGGCGUUCACUUAAGUGUGAUAACGAGCGAGACCCACAUCUUUAAUUGCAAAUGUAUAUGAGAAUAUGCAUGCACUUUAGAGAAACCGCCAGCGCUAAGCUGGAGGAAGGAGUGGUCGACGGCAGGUCAGUACGCCCCGAAUUUCCCGGGCUACACGCGCAUUACAAAGAACGGGACAAUACGUUGCAACCUCGAAAGAGGAAGCUAAUCGCGAAACCCGUCCAUAGUUAGGAUUGAGGGCUGUAACUCGCCCUCAUGAUCUGGAUUCCGUAGUAAUCGCGGGUCAACAACCCGCGGUGACAU
Molecule: ribosomal RNA, 679 nt
Filed under: uncultured bacterium
Lineage: Bacteria
Description: bacterial SSU rRNA
Rfam family: Archaeal small subunit ribosomal RNA
Source: RNAcentral